AGCAGUAGCCACGGUAAUACGUAGGGUGCAAGCGUUAAUCGGAAUUACUGGGCGUAAAGCGUGCGCAGGCGGUUAUAUAAGACAGAUGUGAAAUCCCCGGGCUCAACCUGGGAACUGCAUUUGUGACUGUAUAGCUAGAGUACGGCAGAGGGGGAUGGAAUUCCGCGUGUAGCAGUGAAAUGCGUAGAUAUGCGGAGGAACACCGAUGGCGAAGGCAAUCCCCUGGGCCUGUACUGACGCUCAUGCACGAAAGCGUGGGGAGCAAACAGGAUUAGAUACCCCCGUAGUCCCUGUCUCUUAUAA
This 303-nucleotide ribosomal RNA is filed under the name uncultured bacterium. RNAcentral's name for it is "partial 16S ribosomal RNA". It matches the Rfam family "Bacterial small subunit ribosomal RNA", at positions 507 to 809 of the family's 1533-position model. The record is from RNAcentral.